This 495-nucleotide ribosomal RNA is filed under the name uncultured bacterium. RNAcentral describes it as "partial 16S ribosomal RNA". It matches the Rfam family "Bacterial small subunit ribosomal RNA", at positions 28 to 507 of the family's 1533-position model. The record is from RNAcentral.
GACGAACGCUGGCGGCGUGCCUAAUACAUGCAAGUCGAACGCUGAAGGAGGAGCUUGCUUCUCUGGAUGAGUUGCGAACGGGUGAGUAACGCGUAGGUAACCUGCCUGGUAGCGGGGGAUAACUAUUGGAAACGAUAGCUAAUACCGCAUAAGAGUAGAUGUUGCAUGACAUUUACUUAAAAGGUGCAAUUGCAUCACUACCAGAUGGACCUGCGUUGUAUUAGCUAGUUGGUGAGGUAACGGCUCACCAAGGCAACGAUACAUAGCCGACCUGAGAGGGUGGUCGGCCACACUGGGACUGAGACACGGCCCAGACUCCUACGGGAGGCAGCAGUAGGGAAUCUUCGGCAAUGGACGGAAGUCUGACCGAGCAACGCCGCGGGAGUGAAGAAGGUUUUCGGAUCGUAAAGCUCUGUUGUAAGAGAAGAACGAGUGUGAGAGUGGAAAGUUCACACUGUGACGGUAUCUGACCAGAAAGGGACGGCUAACUACGUG